AGAGUUUGAUCCUGGCUCAGAAUCAACGCUGGCGGCGUGCCUAACACAUGCAAGUCGAACGAGAAAGGGUAGCAAUACCUGAGUAAAGUGGCGCACGGGUGAGUAACACGUGACUAACCUACCUUUGAGUGGGGGAUAACUGAGGGAAACCUUAGCUAAUACCGCAUAAUACCCACGGGUCAAAGAAGCAAUUCGCUUAA
RNAcentral lists this ribosomal RNA (200 nucleotides) under uncultured bacterium. RNAcentral describes it as "partial 16S ribosomal RNA". It matches the Rfam family "Bacterial small subunit ribosomal RNA", at positions 8 to 222 of the family's 1533-position model. The record is from RNAcentral.